AAGAGUGAACUAGCUAACUGAAAUCAUAGAAUUUAUUAAAAUUCAUGAUGUCGUAAGGGAAAAUAAUGAUAAUACCUUACUAUGAGUGUCGUCCAAAUCUGGUGCCAGAAGACUCGGUAAGACCAGAGACGCAAACGUUAAUCAUCAUAAACAGGCGUAAAGGGUUUGUAGGCAGCUUUUAUAAAGAUAGAUAAAAAUCUAAAUUGAAAGCUAGAAUCAAAAAGAGGUUAUAGUGUAUAACGCCUAGAGGAGGGCUGAUAUCCAUAGAUCCUAGGCAGAAUACUCAGGGCGAAGGCCACUCUCCACUAAUGAUUGACGCUGAGAAACGAAGGUUAGGGUAGGAAAUAGGAUUAGAUACCCCGGUACUCCUUUCUGUAAACGAUGAAUGGUAGUCAUUAGUUUUAAAAAUAACUAGAGGCGAAGUUAACACAAUAACCAUUCCGCCUUGUGAGUACUACUGCAAAGUAGAAAACAAAAAAAUUAGUCGGUCUCGAAGCAAACGGAGUGAAGCAUGUUAUUUAAUACGAU
This 528-nucleotide ribosomal RNA is filed under the name Ganoderma multipileum. RNAcentral's name for it is "SSU rRNA". It matches the Rfam family "Bacterial small subunit ribosomal RNA", at positions 379 to 955 of the family's 1533-position model. The record is from RNAcentral. Lineage: Eukaryota; Fungi; Basidiomycota; Agaricomycetes; Polyporales; Polyporaceae.